GGUUAUCCUGAAACUCCAAUGGUCUUUCAUUCUCAAGUAGAGAGGAUUGAACCAUGUCGUGAGGAGUAGCAGGAGGUCUUAGUCUUAGGGGCUUCCACUAUGCCUCAAGAUUCGGAACAGACUAACCAUGUGAGUGUGGUAGGGUGAAACCCGUUGGCAAUGGCUUUGCAAAGCAGUAGAUGCUACCACAAGUGCACAACCCGCAAUGGCUCGACAAUCAUUCUAAACCUGGACAAUCAAGUCUAGAUCAUAACAUGUUAAGAUGUUUGAACUAGUUUAUCUUGUAUGAAUACUUAUGUGUAUGUUGUAUGUUAUAUUAAUGCAUGAAUUCUUUUAUAUCUAGC
This 344-nucleotide long non-coding RNA is filed under the name Vigna radiata. RNAcentral's name for it is "long non-coding RNA (VRAD_LNC007306)". Lineage: Eukaryota; Viridiplantae; Streptophyta; Magnoliopsida; Fabales; Fabaceae. The record is from RNAcentral.